This 768-nucleotide long non-coding RNA is filed under the name Androctonus crassicauda. Lineage: Eukaryota; Metazoa; Arthropoda; Arachnida; Scorpiones; Buthidae. The record is from RNAcentral.
AAAAGGAAAUAUAUCGGAAAACGAAAUAAUACGAAAUAUAUUUCGUAUAUAUUGAAUAUACGAAAUAUAUUUUCCAUUCCCGAUAAAACGAACGAAUGUUAAAAAGUUCAAAGAUAAUUUAUGCAAAUGCCAAUAAUUGGAACAUAAAAUAUAGAAGGCAUAAAAUCCAAACUGUCGAUAAAACUAAUUACAUCGGCUUUAUCGAAACAAGUAUUUCUGUAUUAAAAUUAGCAAUCGAUAUUUGCAGGAAAGUGUAUAUCCAUGAACGUGAUUUAAUAUUUUUAGCUUGGAGAUUACUCAUUCCCAUCUUCGUAGGGAAAAAUCCUUUCAGCUGGAUAACACGAAAACUGCUUCUACGGACACAUUUUAGUGUUAUAGUGUUCUCAGAGUAACAAACGUGAUGGUUCGGUUACAAAGUCCCACGAGAAAGAGUAUUACCUUCAGUUCGAUAACCACAGAAGUUGUGACUCUGUCUGCAUUUCUGUACUACGUGAAUUGAAUCGGUAAAACUGCUCAAUUUUCUUUCCUUUCCAUGGAGAUAAGUGAAAGAUGUCCCCCAGGUUAGUAAGUUACAAUUUUGCAGUCGAAUUUUGGAAUUUCUCUUUUCUAGUUCUACUUUAUUUGGCUCGCCAAUCAUUCUGAUAUUCUCCAAACUACUUACGGUUUAUUUAAUACAACAAAAGGUCAUAAAGUUUUGAUGAUAAAGUGUGAAUAGUCUUAAUGAGGAUAAUAAUUUUCCAUUAUCGUACAAUUUUCAUUAAAUUCCUU